GAUUUUUUUUUUCUAUUUAGCUAGGUUGGUCCUUGGACAAGAGACCUACAGUCCAUCCCUGGACCAGUCUUGGAAAUCUCUUGAAUUUUAUCAGAGGAAAUACUUUGCUGGCAAAGUCUUUGGGAACCCAGAGCUAUCUCUCAGUCACAAUGAGGCAUUGAAGGACUUCCACAUGGCACAUACCCAAUAAAGAUAGGCAAAUACAGGUACAGGAUGGAGUCCUGCUUUGUCCAAGUUGGGAGGAUCAUGUGGCUCCCUGGCUGUCGAAGGACUCUUGCAGCUCUGCAAACAUGUUCCGUGGCUUCCUUGAACGACACCAUUGAAUUGGAAAGCUAGGAAAGGAAAUGGAAGGAAGAAAUAAAUUUCAGUGGUACUAGGGUGGGGGAAUAUCU
RNAcentral lists this long non-coding RNA (392 nucleotides) under Phascolarctos cinereus (koala). Its description in RNAcentral is "lncRNA (ENSPCIG00000016920.2)". The record is from RNAcentral. Lineage: Eukaryota; Metazoa; Chordata; Mammalia; Diprotodontia; Phascolarctidae.